RNAcentral lists this ribosomal RNA (26 nucleotides) under fungal endophyte sp. AP471. RNAcentral describes it as "partial 28S ribosomal RNA". The record is from RNAcentral. Lineage: Eukaryota; Fungi.
GUUGACCUCGGAUCAGGUAAGGAGAC